Molecule: Y RNA, 170 nt
Filed under: Carlito syrichta (Philippine tarsier)
Lineage: Eukaryota; Metazoa; Chordata; Mammalia; Primates; Tarsiidae
Description: Y RNA (ENSTSYG00000035987.1)
Rfam family: Y RNA
About the family: Y RNAs are components of the Ro ribonucleoprotein particle (Ro RNP), in association with Ro60 and La proteins.
Source: Rfam by way of RNAcentral
GGCUGGUCUGAAGGUAAUGAAGGAGGAAACUGAAUAGUUUUAUGUAUGUAUGUUAAUGUAUCAUACUGUAAUGUAACUGUCAUCUCGAUAACUGUUCACAGUCAGUUCUAGAUCGAACUCCUUGUGCUACUCUUUCCCCUAUUCUCACUACUACACUUGACUAGUCUUGA